RNAcentral lists this ribosomal RNA (270 nucleotides) under Rhizonema sp. 'cyanobiont of Cyphellostereum unoquinoum'. RNAcentral's name for it is "partial 16S ribosomal RNA". It matches the Rfam family "Bacterial small subunit ribosomal RNA", at positions 28 to 327 of the family's 1533-position model. RNAcentral also lists the same sequence under 2 other names. Lineage: Bacteria; Bacillati; Cyanobacteriota; Cyanophyceae; Nostocales; Rhizonemataceae. The record is from RNAcentral.
GAUGAACGCUGGCGGUAUGCUUAACACAUGCAAGUCGAACGGUCUCUUCGGAGAUAGUGGCGGACGGGUGAGUAACGCGUGAGAAUCUGGCUCUAGGUCUGGGACAACCACUGGAAACGGUGGCUAAUACUGGAUGUGCCGAAAGGUGAAAGAUUAAUUGCCUGGAGAUGAGCUCGCGUCUGAUUAGCUAGUUGGUAGGGUAAGAGCUUACCAAGGCGACGAUCAGUAGCUGGUCUGAGAGGACGAUCAGCCACACUGGGACUGAGACAC